CCACGGGCAGGGCAGGUCACGGGGCCAUCGGAAGGAAGCGAGCUUUCCGUGCGCGCCCCCGGCUGCAGACUCCGUAGAGGCCGCAGGGAGGGGUGAAGAGGGCCGGCCGGCACGGGGAGGCUGCCUCGCUUCACUCUUCUCCUGGCCAUUCGCCUCUUGCGCCCGCUCACACGACACACCUUUCCAGGACACGGGGGAGGGGCUCAAGGGCAGCAAUCUUCUCCUGCGACUGCCCUUCGAAACAAUGCCACGCUCACACUUUCUGCCUGGUUGUUCGUUCCUUGUUGCACGUCAGAAACGAGCAGCACAGCCGGUGGGGGCCCCCUGGGAGGGCUUGAAUGGAGGUAGCAACCCUGUGAGGCAGAACUUCCCAUCCAAGACAGAUGGAAGAGAACAUCCCAUUUGGACCUUUUUUAAGAUGAAAAAGAAACUGCACAAGUGGCAAGACUUUCAAUCAACAAAGGGAGGCAUACUGGGGGGGGGUAGGAAAAAAAGAAAGGACAGGAGGGGUUUACCCCCAACACAUAAUGGACUCUGCUGCGAGAUGCAUAGAAGGGAGUUUUUGUUCAUCACUUUGGUGAAAAUUACCUCGCUUCUGGUGUAUGUUCAGCUUUGUCAAACCAUUGUUUUAACCAUUGUUGUGAGUACUUUUGGGAUUCGCCCCUAUCCUUGGUAGCACACCUUCAGUUUUGCAAUGACAGCUGAUGAUUUUCAGCUGGUACAUAAGCUGGGUUUGAGAAGUUUGGUGUAUGAAUAAGCUUUGUACCUGCUUGUUCAAGAGUACGUUCUAGAAGCAACUGGAGAGGGUGCAUAAAAGUGAAUAUUACACAAGCCGUAGGCUUGGCUUGUUAUAAUACAGUUGUUGUUGUUCUUAGAAGGUGCUCUCAUGUUGUUCUGAAUUGUUUAUAUUUAUUACCAGUUGAGUAUUUGUGAUGUUCAGAAACCUUUCUACCUUUGGGAACGAAUGGUAUAGGGGUAUCUUUUCAUUACAUCCUCUCACAAUAUAAACACUUUGUGUAUUGUAAGUUCUGAAUAAACUUUCUGUUUGGUUUAUUACUA
Hemicordylus capensis (graceful crag lizard) is the source of this 1059-nucleotide long non-coding RNA. RefSeq lists it as uncharacterized. The record is from RefSeq and is a predicted model, not a curated record. The transcript is spliced from 2 exons. NCBI's taxonomy places the organism in Eukaryota, Metazoa, Chordata, Lepidosauria, Squamata, Cordylidae.